AACCCUGUGAAUUCGCUAGUUUGAUAACGUAGCAGUUUUCAAAACUAACUUGAAAUUGAGCUACGAUCAGGUCGAGGCAGAGUCUCUUUAUUUUCAUUAUAAGGUUUCAAUAGAGAGUCACUGCAUUCACGCGAUUGAUGAGAAUGGAUCGUUCUGCUUACAACGCCAAUCAAUACUAGGUUUUAGAGCUUGAACAGCAGCGCAUCAUGUAGCAUAGUAAAGAUUUCUAGAUCUCCAAUCUGGCUCAAGUUCGACACCCUAACUCUAAACUCAGCGAUGAUACGUGUGCACUUUUAGCACGACUGCAUUAAAACCCAACUGUUUCCCCCAAAGCACAAUGAAAGUCUUGACAGCAUCUAUGAUGAACAACUCGUGGUAGAGUUAUAAACCAUUACAAAUGCGCUUCAACACACAUGGCAAUCAACAAAAUCAGUCUCACCCAGUGUGAACCGAAUCUGCAGGAUAAGACACGCUAGAACCGUCUGUGUAACCGCCAUAUCCUCCCCUUCACC
RNAcentral lists this long non-coding RNA (512 nucleotides) under Physcomitrium patens. RNAcentral describes it as "long non-coding RNA (PPAT_LNC000238)". Lineage: Eukaryota; Viridiplantae; Streptophyta; Bryopsida; Funariales; Funariaceae. The record is from RNAcentral.